Molecule: ribosomal RNA, 238 nt
Filed under: uncultured bacterium
Lineage: Bacteria
Description: partial 16S ribosomal RNA
Rfam family: Bacterial small subunit ribosomal RNA
Source: RNAcentral
UACGGAGGGUGCGAACGUUAAUCGGAAUCACUGGGCGUAAAGCGCGCGUAGGCGGUUGUUAAGUGGGAUGUGAAAUCCCCGGGCUUAACCUGGGAAUUGCAUUUCAAACUGGCCGACUAGAGUACGGUAGAGGGAGGUAGAAUUUCCUGUGUAGCGGUGAAAUGCGUAGAUAUAGGAAGGAAUACCAGUGGCGAAGGCGGCCUCCUGGAUCGAUACUGACGCUGAGGCGCGAAAGCGU